GACGAACGCUGGCGGCGUGCUUAACACAUGCAAGUCGAACGGAAAGGCUCCAGCUUGCUGGAGUACUCGAGUGGCGAACGGGUGAGUAACACGUGGGUAAUCUGCCCUGCACUCUGGGAUAAGCCUGGGAAACUGGGUCUAAUACUGGAUAUGACCUUUCUCCUUAUGGGGUUUGGUGGAAAGUUUUUCGGUGUAGGAUGAGCCCGCGGCCUAUCAGCUUGUUGGUGGGGUGAUGGCCUACCAAGGCGACGACGGGUAGCCGGCCUGAGAGGGCGAUCGGCCACAUUGGGACUGCGAUACGGCCCAGACUCCUACGGGAGGCAGCAGUGGGGAAUAUUGCACAAUGGGCGGAAGCCUGAUGCAGCGACGCCGCGUGCGGGAUGACGGCCUUCGGGUUGUAAACCUCUUUCAGCAGGGACGAAGCGUAAGUGACGGUACCUGCAGAAGAAGCACCGGCUAACUAUGUG
RNAcentral lists this ribosomal RNA (467 nucleotides) under uncultured bacterium. RNAcentral describes it as "partial 16S ribosomal RNA". It matches the Rfam family "Bacterial small subunit ribosomal RNA", at positions 28 to 507 of the family's 1533-position model. The record is from RNAcentral.